UGCUUUCCACGAGAAAAUUCGAUAAAAACUAAAAAGCAAAUCACUCCUCUCCCUCCCCUACACUCCCCUCCAUCACAGGCCAAGCAUAAAACAAAGCCCAAAGAAACAAAAGCAAAGACCGCCAUCAUCAUCACUACAUGCGAGUAGAGGCAAAAAAAAGAAGAUUAAACAAAAGAAUGGUGAGAAUCCUUCAGCAACACUCCUCUCGCAACGCCCUACUCUCAGCUCUCGAUCCCUCUUCUCUCCUCCUCCUCCUCCUCCUACUCGCUUUCAGUCACGCCCGCCUAGUGAAGCCCAACGCCUACAUAUACUCCGGCUGCUCGCAAGAGAAGUACCAGCCGGGCUCGCUCUUUGAGUCCAACCUGAACUCCGUCCUCACGUCCGUCGUGAGCUCGUCGUCCCAGGCCACGUACAACAGCUUCGCCGUCGGCAAUGGCACUGCCGCCCCGCCCGAGGGCUUGAUCUACGGGCUGUACCAGUGCCGGGGCGAUCUGAACCUCGUCGAAUGCUCGGGAUGCAUCCAGAGCGCCGUGAGCCAGAUGAGCCUGGUGUGUCCCUACUCGUACGGGGCUUCCCUUCAGCUCGACAGCUGCUACGUGAGGUACGAGCACAUGGAUUUCUUGGGGAGGCUCGACACGGGCUUGAGGUACCAUAAGUGCAGCAAGAGUGCCGGGAGCGAUCAGGAGUUCUUCCGGCGCAGAGACGACGUCCUCGCUGACUUGAGAGGUGCGAUAGGUUUUCGGGUCAGCCGCUCGGGACUUGUCCAGGGUUUUGCCCAGUGUUUAGGCGAUCUGAGCACGGCCGAUUGCUCCACUUGCCUCUCGCAGGCGGUGGAGGAGUCGAGGACCCUGUGUGGAACCGCGGCAGCAGCGGACGUCUUCCUGGCUCAGUGUUAUGUGCGCUACUGGGCUUCCGGCUACUACGAUUUCUCUUCGGUUCAAAAACACAAUGUUCGACUGCUUUACUGCACUCUAGAGCGAGGGAAAGUGAGUGUAAUUUCAAAAAAAUUUCUCAGCCAAGAGCUCGUUCUUCCAACAAUGAGGACCAAGCGGGCAAGACCGUUGCCAUCAUCGUGGGAGUAGUCGGAGCUCUUGCCGUCUUAAUCGUCCUCCUCUCGCUCUGCCGAAAAGCGAUGGGCUGAGAAGAGAGAAUAUGCAGCAUUCCAUGGAGGACACAACCAUGAGGGAUAUAUGGUCCAUCUCUCAGUUACUUUUCUUCUUCUUCUUCUUUUUAAUUUUUUUUCUUUUGGGUUUUUGUUUUUGAGUCUUUGUUUAAGGCCGAAGCAAAGUCUCGACCAAUCCUUUUGACUGUGGAUGGCAAUAUAUAAUUUGACUUCAAAAGAAUAUUGCGAGUCUACGUGUAAAGUUAAGAAUA
Molecule: RNA transcript, 1374 nt
Organism: Eucalyptus grandis
Lineage: Eukaryota; Viridiplantae; Streptophyta; Magnoliopsida; Myrtales; Myrtaceae
Gene name: plasmodesmata-located protein 8
Exons: 4
Source: RefSeq, a predicted model, not a curated record